UUGAACAGCAGAGUCAGAAAUUAGGAUAAUUUGCCCACUAAAACCUGAGAUAAUUUUGCAACUUUUUUGGCAUAUAUGAUUUUUUAUGGAGGCUAUAUCCUAAUGAGGCUUCUCAUGGAAAGCAGGAAAAAUCAACAGUCAAGAUAUCCUUUUCAAUCAUAUGUAAAUACAAAACCAAACUGUACUUUUGGUAUAGUUUCAGUUCGGCUUCUUCGAUGUUUUGAUUCUGGUUCAGUUUGAUUUUUAGUGCUUCAGUUCCAGUUACGGUUUUGGUCCUGAAACAGGUUUUAUACAAUUAUUGUAAUGGAAAGUCAUGCUUGGAUUAUCAUUUAAGCUUUAAAAUUAGUUGCUAAUACACAAUAUAUUAUAUAAUAUACAUUUCAAUUAUUUAUUAAUUAUAAG
Molecule: unclassified non-coding RNA, 402 nt
Filed under: Hevea brasiliensis (rubber tree)
Lineage: Eukaryota; Viridiplantae; Streptophyta; Magnoliopsida; Malpighiales; Euphorbiaceae
Source: RNAcentral